RNAcentral lists this small RNA (80 nucleotides) under Mytilus galloprovincialis (Mediterranean mussel). Lineage: Eukaryota; Metazoa; Mollusca; Bivalvia; Mytilida; Mytilidae. The record is from RNAcentral.
AAAAAUCCCAUGGGAUUUUUUUUGUCCCAUGGGACAAACAAAUAUCCCAUGGGACUACAAUAAUCCCAUGGACAAAAAAA